CCUACGGGUGGCAGCAGUGGGGAAUAUUGCACAAUGGGCGCUAGCCUGAUGCAGCCAUGCCGCGUGUAUGAAGAAGGCCGUCGGGUUGUAAAGUACUUUCAGCGGGGAGGAAGGUGUUGUGGUUAAUAACCACAGCAAUUGACGUUACCCGCAGAAGAAGCACCGGCUAACCCCGUGCCAGCAGCCGCGGUAAUACGGAGGGUGCAAGCGUUAAUCGGAAUUACUGGGCGUAAAGCGCACGCAGGCGGUCAGUCAAGUCGGAUGUGAAAUCCCCGGGCUCAACCUGGGAACUGCAUUCGAAACUGGCAGGCUAGAGUCUUGUAGAGGGGGGUAGAAUUCCAGGUGUAGCGGUGAAAUGCGUAGAGAUCUGGAGGAAUACCGGUGGCGAAGGCGGCCCACUGGACAAAGACUGACGCUCAGGUGCGAAAGCGUGGGGAGCAAACAGGAUUAGAUACCCCGGUAGUC
RNAcentral lists this ribosomal RNA (465 nucleotides) under uncultured bacterium. RNAcentral describes it as "bacterial SSU rRNA". It matches the Rfam family "Bacterial small subunit ribosomal RNA", at positions 338 to 795 of the family's 1533-position model. The record is from RNAcentral.